This 1206-nucleotide ribosomal RNA is filed under the name Salmonella enterica. Its description in RNAcentral is "partial 23S ribosomal RNA". It matches the Rfam family "Bacterial large subunit ribosomal RNA", at positions 711 to 1897 of the family's 2925-position model. The record is from RNAcentral. Lineage: Bacteria; Pseudomonadati; Pseudomonadota; Gammaproteobacteria; Enterobacterales; Enterobacteriaceae.
AGACCCGAAACCCGGUGAUCUAGCCAUGGGCAGGUUGAAGGUUGGGUAACACUAACUGGAGGACCGAACCGACUAAUGUUGAAAAAUUAGCGGAUGACCUGUGGCUGGGGGUGAAAGGCCAAUCAAACCGGGAGAUAGCUGGUUCUCCCCGAAAGCUAUUUAGGUAGCGCCUCGUGAAUUCAUCUCCGGGGGUAGAGCACUGUUUCGGCUAGGGGGCCAUCCCGGCUUACCAACCCGAUGCAAACUGCGAAUACCGGAGAAUGUUAUCACGGGAGACACACGGCGGGUGCUAACGUCCGUCGUGAAGAGGGAAACAACCCAGACCGCCAGCUAAGGUCCCAAAGUCAUGGUUAAGUGGGAAACGAUGUGGGAAGGCCCAGACAGCCAGGAUGUUGGCUUAGAAGCAGCCAUCAUUUAAAGAAAGCGUAAUAGCUCACUGGUCGAGUCGGCCUGCGCGGAAGAUGUAACGGGGCUAAACCAUGCACCGAAGCUGCGGCAGCGACGCUUAUGCGUUGUUGGGUAGGGGAGCGUUCUGUAAGCCUGCGAAGGUGGCCUGUGAGGGUUGCUGGAGGUAUCAGAAGUGCGAAUGCUGACAUAAGUAACGAUAAAGCGGGUGAAAAGCCCGCUCGCCGGAAGACCAAGGGUUCCUGUCCAACGUUAAUCGGGGCAGGGUGAGUCGACCCCUAAGGCGAGGCCGAAAGGCGUAGUCGAUGGGAAACGGGUUAAUAUUCCCGUACUUGGUGUUACUGCGAAGGGGGGACGGAGAAGGCUAUGUUGGCCGGGCGACGGUUGUCCCGGUUUAAGCGUGUAGGUGUGUGUUCCAGGUAAAUCCGGUUCACUUUAACACUGAGGCGUGAUGACGAGGCACUACGGUGCUGAAGCAACAAAUGCCCUGCUUCCAGGAAAAGCCUCUAAGCAUCAGGUAACAUCAAAUCGUACCCCAAACCGACACAGGUGGUCAGGUAGAGAAUACCAAGGCGCUUGAGAGAACUCGGGUGAAGGAACUAGGCAAAAUGGUGCCGUAACUUCGGGAGAAGGCACGCUGACAUGUAGGUGAAGUGAUUUACUCAUGGAGCUGAAGUCAGUCGAAGAUACCAGCUGGCUGCAACUGUUUAUUAAAAACACAGCACUGUGCAAACACGAAAGUGGACGUAUACGGUGUGACGCCUGCCCGGUGCCGGAAGGUUAAUUGAUGGGGUCAGCGCA